GCCUGUUUAGCUCAGUGGUAGAGCGCGCCACUCGUAGGAGCCAGCCCUGUACAGCUUUCCGCAAUGGUGAGGUCGGUUGUUCAAUCCAGCCAAUGGGCA
Molecule: non-coding RNA, 99 nt
Organism: Fomitopsis serialis
Lineage: Eukaryota; Fungi; Basidiomycota; Agaricomycetes; Polyporales; Fomitopsidaceae
Source: the annotation of a RefSeq genome assembly